UGGCUCAGGAUGAACGCUAGCGAUAGGCCUAACACAUGCAAGUCGAGGGGCAGCAUAGAGUAGCAAUACUUGAUGGCGACCGGCGCACGGGUGAGUAACACGUAUGCAACCUACCUACAUCAGGGGAAUAACCCGGAGAAAUUCGGACUAAUACCGCAUAAUACAGGGAUGCCGCAUGGCAAUAUUUGUUAAAGAUUUAUCGGAUGUAGAUGGGCAUGCGUUCCAUUAGCUAGUUGGUGAGGUAACGGCUCACCAAGGCAACGAUGGAUAGGGGAACUGAGAGGUUUGUCCCCCACACUGGAACUGAGACACGGACCAGGCUCCUACGGGAGGCAGCAGUGAGGAAUAUUGGUCAAUGGACGAGAGUCUGAACCAGCCAAAUCGCGUGAAAAGGAAGACUGCCCUACGGGUUGUAAACUUCUUUUGUACAGGAAUAAAAGACAUUACGUGUAAUGUAUUGCAUGUACUGUACGAAUAAGCAUCGGCUAACUCCGUGCCAGCCGCCGC
This 507-nucleotide ribosomal RNA is filed under the name uncultured bacterium. Its description in RNAcentral is "bacterial SSU rRNA". It matches the Rfam family "Bacterial small subunit ribosomal RNA", at positions 20 to 518 of the family's 1533-position model. The record is from RNAcentral.